Molecule: ribosomal RNA, 559 nt
Filed under: Streptomyces canus
Lineage: Bacteria; Bacillati; Actinomycetota; Actinomycetes; Kitasatosporales; Streptomycetaceae
Description: bacterial SSU rRNA
Rfam family: Bacterial small subunit ribosomal RNA
Source: RNAcentral
CCACUUCGGUGGGGAUUAGUGGCGAACGGGUGAGUAACACGUGGGCAAUCUGCCCUUCACUCUGGGACAAGCCCUGGAAACGGGGUCUAAUACCGGAUACCACUACCGCAGGCAUCUGUGGUGGUUGAAAGCUCCGGCGGUGAAGGAUGAGCCCGCGGCCUAUCAGCUUGUUGGUGAGGUAAUGGCUCACCAAGGCGACGACGGGUAGCCGGCCUGAGAGGGCGACCGGCCACACUGGGACUGAGACACGGCCCAGACUCCUACGGGAGGCAGCAGUGGGGAAUAUUGCACAAUGGGCGAAAGCCUGAUGCAGCGACGCCGCGUGAGGGAUGACGGCCUUCGGGUUGUAAACCUCUUUCAGCAGGGAAGAAGCGAAAGUGACGGUACCUGCAGAAGAAGCGCCGGCUAACUACGUGCCAGCAGCCGCGGUAAUACGUAGGGCGCAAGCGUUGUCCGGAAUUAUUGGGCGUAAAGAGCUCGUAGGCGGCUUGUCACGUCGGGUGUGAAAGCCCGGGGCUUAACCCCGGGUCUGCAUUCGAUACGGGCUAGCUAGAGUGUG